CGGUGUUAAACUAGCCUGCAAAAAGACCAACUGACCCUUCGACGUCCCAUUUGCCGCUCUCUGUGGACAAUUCGAGCUGGAACAUAUGCAAGCAAUGCAAGAAAGGCGACCUGACGAGCAGAAAAAGCAUCAGAGUCAGUUGAACGAUCACAAUCAGUUUCAUCAAAAUGUGAUAGUGAUGAGAAAUGGCGAUCGGGUGGACAACUCUGAGCCCUUGUGGAUCACCACAGCACGGCGUCCAUGGGAUCCUCCAUCCGCUGAAAGCAGCAGGAUUAGAGCCUUCUGUACUGGAAGAAAACUCAGGGAUCGACUCGACUUCCCUAUUCAUAGAGUGUUCGUCUUCCCUUUCCUUUGUUGCAUCCAGAGUCCAGACGGCUUUCGAGGUUGUCUCUGUACUUUGCGCUGUUCAAGAUGACAAUAACCAGCGAAAAUGUUCCCAUUGAACCCUCCAAGCUCAAGGUUUGCUGAUUGGAGCACAUAAGCCCACCAUUAUCUCCCAGGUCGGCGGGUUAGGGCUGCGGAUUGGAGCAAUCAAGAAGGGGCACCGACUAUGGUAGCAGAAGGGAGUGUGGGUAGUAGUGAUUUCAGCAAUCAACUGUUGACCGGCGAGCUAGGGAUUAAGAUUUCAUUCAUAUGCAAGGAUAAUUUGGGGAGAAAAUUAGCCACUUCAGUGAUGAUGUUAUCACUUGACUGGGAUAUCUACCAGGAAGGGUAGGGUCUUGAUAUUUAUGAAAGUUCGUGGGAACUUAAUAUUAAGCCAAAGUUUGGGGAGAGGAAUGUAAUUUACAUACAAUAUUUAUUUUAAUAUAUUAAACAUAUGCAUAAUCAGAUUAAAAGGA
Long non-coding RNA from Macadamia integrifolia, 839 nucleotides. RefSeq lists it as uncharacterized. NCBI's taxonomy places the organism in Eukaryota, Viridiplantae, Streptophyta, Magnoliopsida, Proteales, Proteaceae. The transcript is spliced from 2 exons. The record is from RefSeq and is a predicted model, not a curated record.